GAGGGCAUAGCUUAGUGGUAGAGUGCCUGCUUAGCAAGCAUGAGGUCCUGGGUUCAAUCCCCAGUAGCUCCA
Molecule: transfer RNA, 72 nt
Filed under: Camelus bactrianus (Bactrian camel)
Lineage: Eukaryota; Metazoa; Chordata; Mammalia; Artiodactyla; Camelidae
Also listed under: 2 other names
Rfam family: tRNA
About the family: Transfer RNA (tRNA) molecules are approximately 80 nucleotides in length. Their secondary structure includes four short double-helical elements and three loops (D, anti-codon, and T loops).
Source: Rfam by way of RNAcentral